RNAcentral lists this long non-coding RNA (1299 nucleotides) under Neogale vison (American mink). RNAcentral describes it as "Neovison vison (American mink) lncRNA (ENSNVIG00000009978.1)". Lineage: Eukaryota; Metazoa; Chordata; Mammalia; Carnivora; Mustelidae. The record is from RNAcentral.
GCGCUUCUUCACUGCCCUCCGGAAAGGCAAUGGCUCAGCCGGAACAGCCUGGGGGCCCACGCGUGUGGGUCCGGGGGUCGUCUGCGAGGCCUCGCGGUGGCUCCGUGGCGGCUGGAGGUAGUUUGAAGAGACCAGAUGCAAAGAGACACUUGGCUACCAGCAGGAGUGGAAGGGCAGAGCGGGCCGUGCUGAUGCGACUCCUGGUCUCCAGUGACCACGCCCAGGGGACCGGCCAGGGGCUUCCGCAGCACAAGCCAGGGGACCAGAGGAGCACGGGCAGUUUCAGAGAAUACACGUAAUAACAGCACGGAUAGAAGUAACGCAAACAGUUUCAAGAAAGACAGGGCUGAGCAGCGGGGAGCAGCCGCCUUCUCCGCGACCAUCGUCCUGGGGCCACUUCUCCAUAUGCUCCACUGUUGGGAGCCGCUCCGCAGAGAUGGAGUGAGCAGAGGCGGGACCAGCGGCUGCAUCAGACCCGAAGACCUGAGCCGGGUGCCCAGCCCGUCCCCUGAGACCUCCUGGGACGGGGAGGAGGGUUUCUGUCCUAGAAGUGAGGCCAGUGGCGUCCUGCUGGCUGUGAAGUUUGCUUUUAGUGAAGGGGAGCUCUCGUAGUGUGCGGGGUGCUGGAGAGUUCUGCUCUCCUUUCUAGGGGAAGCUUCUCAGGAAAAACAAAAAGCACUUGCUCACACCGUCUGGGUCUUUGAGUUCCUAAUAGAAACCUGGAAGGGGAUGUCCCUGUUCUGUAUGGAAUGGGGCUUUCUCGGGGCGGACACGGAGACUCACAGCGCCAGGGCCCCUGACUAAGGACAACCGUCACCUUUAGGUCCCUUCCAGGAAAACACUGUUCACUGAUCACAGAACAGACCCAGGCCCGCAGGCAGCAUUCCAGCAUUCCACCCGCUGUCCUCAGUCUGGUGAUGUUCUUCUCUCAUUUGACCUUCCUUCUUGGCCCUUGGUGUCUGUUCCACUGUCCCACGGCCCCUCUGCUCAGCUCUAGGACGAGGAACCUCCACGAGCUGUUUGCUGCCAGAAGCUUGGGGUCAUCAUUGUCCUUUGCUGUCUACUUUUGAGUAGCGGAGACUGUCUUCUCACACAGACAGCAUCGGCAUUUUAAAACCAAGACGCCGGGAGGGACUGUGGUAUGGAAGGGAAUGCAGUUGCCGGGCAGGGAAGGGCAGACCCCCUGGUUCCAGGCCCCCCAGGAGCUGUCAACAAUGGCCAGACCUGGGAGCCCCGGGGCUGCAGCCUAGAUGGGCACAUCCAUCUGUCCGUCUGCCUGUCUACCUAAAGAGCGGGACU